GAUGGCCCAGGAGUGGGUUGGUGAGUCCAGAGCAAAAAGGAUUGUUAAUUUCACUAAGCGCUGCCAGAUUGCUUCUCAGAGCGGAGGCAUCACUGCUCUCUCCACGUUCACUUCAGCACUUCCUGGAGACUUUUUGCCAUUCUGAUGAUUUUAAAGUGGUACUUCAGCGUUGUGUGAUUUUACUCUGAUCACCGGCUCUAAAAAUGGGCCCAUCAAGAAGCCGGUGGCUGUGGGAAAUGAAGUGGACUUCACAGAAGGAUGGCAUGAGCAGACGGAUUUUCUUCCCUUUCGAUGGAAAGCCUUCAGAGGGCUGUGUCUCUCCCAGCCAGGACAGACACAGCGAUGCAAUCUGUUUCCUGCAGGCCCAAGGGGAAUGCUUCCUCCUUGUGGUUAGUGACUUCAAAAGUUGCCCCAGUUAGAUGAAGUUCAACCGUUUCUCCAGUUUCGACGACUUGGGGGAGCACCCUCUCAUGUCCGCUCCCCCAGCCUCUGAAGCCCUGCCCAGCUCAAGUUCCUGUUUGAAAGGAGCCCUUCCGAUCACCUCCAACAGACAGAAGCUACCCUCCUCUGAACCCCAGCCCGGGGCCCGUUGGGCCUGGCCUGUAUUUCUGCCCUCACUGUACCCAGCAUCAAUUCCCUGCGUGCUGGUUUCGUGCCUCUUGGAGGCAGGCAGCUUACACCAGUGCAGGGGCUGUGCUGGGCUCUGGCACUCCAGCCCCUGUCGCCUUGCCUUACAUAUGAUAGGCACAACAUUCAAUAAAUGUUAUAUUUUUGAAA
Molecule: long non-coding RNA, 777 nt
Organism: Canis lupus familiaris (dog)
Lineage: Eukaryota; Metazoa; Chordata; Mammalia; Carnivora; Canidae
Exons: 3
Source: RefSeq, a predicted model, not a curated record